Molecule: long non-coding RNA, 1051 nt
Organism: Arabidopsis thaliana (thale cress)
Lineage: Eukaryota; Viridiplantae; Streptophyta; Magnoliopsida; Brassicales; Brassicaceae
Product: other RNA
Exons: 2
Source: RefSeq
UGAUAUGACUCGAAUUUAACAGGUCAACCUGAUUUUACUAAGAGCACCUCCAACGGGAGGUUUUAUUGGAAAAAAGUUGAGUCUCUCUUGUUUAAAGUGAAUAAAUAAAUUAAAAUACAGAAUAAGUUAGAGAAUCGGCUUUCUCGACAGAGUUUUUGGAAGCUGAGAGAGUCCCAUACGUGGCGCAUCGUGGUUGGCUCUUUUAGUUUUAACAAAAGCAAACAAAAAUAUUCUCCUCUCUCUACUUCUCUCUUCUCCAAUUGAACUUUCUGAAGCAAAGAUUUUUGCUUAUCUUAUCUGAAUCUUCGUCGCUAAUCUGAUAUAAAUUUGAAGAUAUGAUCAAAGCCACCAUGGAUCUUGGUUGCCUGGAUUUGGGAUGUCUUUCUGACAAGAAAAGCGGCGUCGGAGUUUCCAAUCUAAUGGAUUUUGUUUUCCCGUCUGAUGUCUUCCAGUGACAUUGAAUUGAGUUUCUUCCUGUUCACUAGAAAAAUUAGGGUUGGUAAUUUAGGCUCUCGUAUAGGGGAAUUGAAAAUGGCAGUUCCGGAAUAGUGAAGCUGUUGUUUGGUGUUGUUUAGGAGGUUGUGAGAUAGGAAGAUGAUUAAGCUUUGAUUGAUUUAGUUGUUUACAUGAUCUGCUUUUGUCGCAAUGCCAUCGUAUUAGUUGGAAAAUCUAGCUAACCACCUGGCUAAAUUAGUUCAUCCAUCAUGCUUCAAUAUGUUUUCUCUACUGGAAAUAUGAAUCUAAAGUUUGUAUGUUAUGAAAAAAUAUACUGUUGGAGUCAAAGAGUUGCAAAGGGUAUGGAUCCUUGUUUAUCCUAAGCUUUUUUUCCUGUAAAAUUUAUAAAUGGAGAUGAUUGUUUAAGUUGUAACAUUGAGACCUAGGUAGUAUAGUUUCCACUUAAAUCUCCAUCGUUUUCUUUUGAAAGCUGUCUAAGUGGAUACUCUGGAUACUAAUUUUCGUUAGAAAAAUCACUAGAGAUGGGUUCGUUUGGUUGUUUCAUAAAAUACUGCAAAACAAUAAUUUUGAUACCAGUUUUCUGCUAACUUCAUGU